RNAcentral lists this small nuclear RNA (104 nucleotides) under Catagonus wagneri (Chacoan peccary). Lineage: Eukaryota; Metazoa; Chordata; Mammalia; Artiodactyla; Tayassuidae. The record is from RNAcentral.
GCGCUCACUUCGGCAGCACAUAAGCCAAAACUGGGACGAUGCAGAGAAAUUAGCCUGCCCCCUGCAAGGAGAACUCCAAAAUCUGUGAAAGAUUUUACAUUUAA